GUGGGGAAUAUUGGACAAUGGGGGGAACCCUGAUCCAGCCAUGCCGCGUGUGUGAAGAAGGCCUUUUGGAUGUAAAGCACUUUAAGCGAGGAGGAGGCUACCGAGGUUAAUACUCUUGGAUAGUGGACGUUACUCGCAGAAUAAGCACCGGCUAACUCUGUGCCAGCAGCCGCGGUAAUACAGAGGGUGCAAGCGUUAAUCGGAUUUACUGGGCGUAAAGCGCGCGUAGGUGGCCAAUUAAGUCAAAUGUGAAAUCCCCGAGCUUAACUUGGGAAUUGCAUUCGAUACUGGUUGGCUAGAGUAUGGGAGAGGAUGGUAGAAUUCCAGGUGUAGCGGUGAAAUGCGUAGAGAUCUGGAGGAAUACCGAUGGCGAAGGCAGCCAUCUGGCCUAAUACUGACACUGAGGUGCGAAAGCAUGGGGAGCAAACAGGAUUAGAUACCCGUGUAGUCC
Molecule: ribosomal RNA, 451 nt
Filed under: uncultured bacterium
Lineage: Bacteria
Description: partial 16S ribosomal RNA
Rfam family: Bacterial small subunit ribosomal RNA
Source: RNAcentral